GACGAACGCUGGCGGCGUGCCUAAUACAUGCAAGUGGGACGCAAGGGAACACACUGUGCUUGCACACCGUGUUUUCUUGAGUCGCGAACGGGUGAGUAACGCGUAGGUAACCUGCCUAUUAGCGGGGGAUAACUAUUGGAAACGAUAGCUAAUACCGCAUAAUAUUAAUUAUUGCAUGAUAAUUGAUUGAAAGAUGCAAGCGCAUCACUAGUAGAUGGACCUGCGUUGUAUUAGCUAGUUGGUAAGGUAAGAGCUUACCAAGGCGACGACACAUAGCCGACCUGAGAGGGUGAUCGGCCACACUGGGACUGAGACACGGCCCAGACUCCUACGGGAGGCAGCAGUAGGGAAUCUUCGGCAAUGGACGAAAGUCUGACCGAGCAACGCCGCGUGAGUGAAGAAGGUUUUCGGAUCGUAAAGCUCUGUUGUAAGUCAAGAACGUGUGUGAGAGUG
This 453-nucleotide ribosomal RNA is filed under the name Streptococcus mutans. RNAcentral's name for it is "bacterial SSU rRNA". It matches the Rfam family "Bacterial small subunit ribosomal RNA", at positions 28 to 463 of the family's 1533-position model. The record is from RNAcentral. Lineage: Bacteria; Bacillati; Bacillota; Bacilli; Lactobacillales; Streptococcaceae.